RNAcentral lists this ribosomal RNA (889 nucleotides) under Amesomyces raii. RNAcentral's name for it is "LSU rRNA". It matches the Rfam family "Eukaryotic large subunit ribosomal RNA", at positions 47 to 968 of the family's 3401-position model. The record is from RNAcentral. Lineage: Eukaryota; Fungi; Ascomycota; Sordariomycetes; Sordariales; Chaetomiaceae.
UAAGCGGAGGAAAAGAAACCAACAGGGAUUGCCCUAGUAACGGCGAGUGAAGCGGCAACAGCUCAAAUUUGAAAUCUGGCCUCGGCCCGAGUUGUAAUUUGCAGAGGAAGCUUUAGGCGCGGCACCAACUGAGUCCCCUGGAACGGGGCGCCAUAGAGGGUGAGAGCCCCGUAUAGUUGGACGCCUAGCCUGUGUAAAGCUCCUUCGACGAGUCGAGUAGUUUGGGAAUGCUGCUCAAAAUGGGAGGUAAAUUUCUUCUAAAGCUAAAUACCCGGCCAGAGACCGAUAGCGCACAAGUAGAGUGAUCGAAAGAUGAAAAGCACUUUGAAAAGAGGGUUAAAUAGCACGUGAAAUUGUUGAAAGGGAAGCGCUUGUGACCAGACUUGCGCCGGGCGGAUCAUCCGGUGUUCUCACCGGUGCACUCCGCCCGGCUCAGGCCAGCAUCGGUUCUCGCGGGGGGAUAAAGGCCUCGGGAACGUAGCUCCUCCGGGAGUGUUAUAGCCCGGGGCGCAAUGCCCUCGCGGGGACCGAGGUUCGCGCAUCUGCAAGGAUGCUGGCGUAAUGGUCAUCAGCGACCCGUCUUGAAACACGGACCAAGGAGUCAAGGUUUUGCGCGAGUGUUUGGGUGUCAAACCCGCACGCGUAAUGAAAGUGAACGUAGGUGAGAGCUUCGGCGCAUCAUCGACCGAUCCUGAUGUUUUCGGAUGGAUUUGAGUAGGAGCGUUAAGCCUUGGACCCGAAAGAUGGUGAACUAUGCUUGGAUAGGGUGAAGCCAGAGGAAACUCUGGUGGAGGCUCGCAGCGGUUCUGACGUGCAAAUCGAUCGUCAAAUCUGAGCAUGGGGGCGAAAGACUAAUCGAACCAUCUAGUAGCUGGUUACCGCCGAAGUU